CGGUCAGGUUUGGAGGGCGGUUGCCCUUUGCGCCUGCGCGGGGUUGAAGGUUGGGCGCUUCUUGCGACGCCUGCGCGGUGCGAACCUUCUGGUCUCGGUAAGGUUAGCGGCUAAACUCCGGUGUCAGCAGGGAGCGCAGCGCUAACGCUAGCAACCCCAGCCUGCGGGUUCCCGUGGAGACAGGCCACGGUUACCCGGUAUUUGUCUCGCCUUUGUUUUAUUUACAUUUCAGGUUGCGGUUUCCAGUGCUUGGCAAGUGGAUACGUGAUCCGGUUUUCACAUUGCCUCUUUCUCUGGGUAUCACUGUGCAUGCAACAGAGUCUGGCUUCAAACGAGAUUCUCAAGCUCCGCCUCCUGAGUACUGGCUUGACAAGCAUGAACAGAACCAGUUUUUUCCUAACACCAGAGAUCCUUAGGAUGCUCCUGGCUGGCUACAGAAUCGACUUAGAAGUCAAUGGUGUGUGAGACCACAGAGCAGCAGCUGCAUAGAGAAUUUAGAGAAACUACAAGUACACGGCCCAAGAUUACUCUCGAGCCAGGAGUAGCAACUGUAAUCCCUCCACAGGUGGAUAUGGGAAUUCUGUAACCUUAAAUUCAAGGUGAGCCAGGCCAUGUUGUGGAGAGCUUGUCUCGAGAUUAAGUAAGUUAAAAAAUAUUUUAAUGUUUAUUAAUAUGCUAAUAUAUUUUAUUAAUAUAUUAAAAUUUAAAACAAUUAAAAAAAACAGUGUAGGGAAAUGGCCCAGUGAAUAAAGGGCUCGAUGGGAAACCUUCCAUUUGAAUUCAGUCUCCAGAAUCGGUGAAAAACCCACAUGCAUUGCAAACCUGUCAUCCCAGUCUCCUACGCCAAGGAGACAAGAGGGUCAGCUUAUAACCGCCAGCUUUUCCACCUGUGCCCCAGGUCCCAAACGGCAACUCAAAGGCGUAACAUUAUUAGUAAAUACCUAAGCCAUAAGCUAGGCCCACUCCCCAGCUAACUCAAGUUAAAUCCCGUUUAUUCUAACCUGAAUUCAGCUACGUGGCUGGCUUCCUCUCCUCAGCUUAUUGACCAUCAGUUUUUUUAUUGAUAGGUGAUGCUUCCACAGGGUACUCAGGAGAUUAUCCCUAUAUCACCUGGAAACAAGGCUUGCUAGAAGUCUCGGAGCCCAUAUAAGUAUGUGGGUCAAUGUACUGGCUGGUUUUGUGUGUCAACUGGACACAAGCUGGAGUUAUCACAGAGAAAGGAGCCUCCAUUGAA
Molecule: small RNA, 1234 nt
Filed under: Rattus norvegicus (Norway rat)
Lineage: Eukaryota; Metazoa; Chordata; Mammalia; Rodentia; Muridae
Description: uncharacterized LOC102551789
Source: RNAcentral